Molecule: small RNA, 66 nt
Filed under: Azomonas macrocytogenes
Lineage: Bacteria; Pseudomonadati; Pseudomonadota; Gammaproteobacteria; Pseudomonadales; Pseudomonadaceae
Description: Pseudomonas sRNA P26
Rfam family: Pseudomonas sRNA P26
About the family: P26 is conserved across many Gammaproteobacteria species and appears to be consistently located between the DNA directed RNA polymerase (beta subunit) and 50S ribosomal protein L7/L12 genes.
Source: Rfam by way of RNAcentral
CUUUGUACCAAUACAGCCAAAGCAGUCUGCAAAUGGCUGGUGGCUGGUGGCUUUUGCCACCGGCCU